RNAcentral lists this ribosomal RNA (503 nucleotides) under uncultured Rubrivivax sp. Its description in RNAcentral is "bacterial SSU rRNA". It matches the Rfam family "Bacterial small subunit ribosomal RNA", at positions 97 to 596 of the family's 1533-position model. Lineage: Bacteria; Pseudomonadati; Pseudomonadota; Betaproteobacteria; Burkholderiales; Sphaerotilaceae. The record is from RNAcentral.
GGCGAACGGGUGAGUAAUACAUCGGAACGUGCCCAGUAGUGGGGGAUAGCCCGGCGAAAGCCGGAUUAAUACCGCAUACGACCUACGGGUGAAAGCGGGGGACCGCAAGGCCUCGCGCCAUUGGAGCGGCCGAUGUCAGAUUAGGUAGUUGGUGGGGUAAAGGCCUACCAAGCCGACGAUCUGUAGCUGGUCUGAGAGGACGACCAGCCACACUGGGACUGAGACACGGCCCAGACUCCUACGGGAGGCAGCAGUGGGGAAUUUUGGACAAUGGGCGCAAGCCUGAUCCAGCCAUGCCGCGUGCGGGAAGAAGGCCUUCGGGUUGUAAACCGCUUUUGUCAGGGAAGAAAUCCUCUGGGUUAAUACCUCGGGGGGAUGACGGUACCUGAAGAAUAAGCACCGGCUAACUACGUGCCAGCAGCCGCGGUAAUACGUAGGGUGCAAGCGUUAAUCGGAAUUACUGGGCGUAAAGCGUGCGCAGGCGGUCUUGCAAGACAGAUGUG